This 301-nucleotide small nuclear RNA is filed under the name Aotus nancymaae (Ma's night monkey). RNAcentral describes it as "7SK RNA (ENSANAG00000009048.1)". It matches the Rfam family "7SK RNA". From Rfam's summary of the family: 7SK was discovered as an abundant small nuclear RNA in the mid-70s but a possible function has only recently been suggested. Lineage: Eukaryota; Metazoa; Chordata; Mammalia; Primates; Aotidae. The record is from RNAcentral.
AGUUCACGUGAUCUGGGUGUAACAUCACCCCAUUGAUCACGAGUGUUGUUUUGGCUAUUCUGUCUGGCAAGGCAGGCAUCCCAUUCCAACCUUUUGGUUCCAUGUGUAUCCCUCCUGAAACUGAGAGCUCAACUGAAGAGAACAACCUUCAUGGAGGGAGGAGGACUGUUAGUCAACCAGGAUAUACUAGCAGUUGUGCUAUAGUGCUAGAACCUCCAGGUAAGGUCUCAAUAUAAAACACUGAUUCUAAGAAAUAGUUACGUUAAAAAAUGAAAUUUUCUCCAGAUUAAUAUAUUGCUUU